GUGGGGGUGGGGAGCGGUCACCGUAGGCUUUUAAACUGGGAAGUGGCUUGAUUCAUUAUAUGUUUAAAGAUACCUCUGGAUGCUUGACUGAGAGGACUCCAGGGGGCUAACGUGGAGGCAGGGAGACAGUUGGGAGCCUCCGGCAUUUGCAGGGUCUCUUAGUCUCUUGCUGAAACCAUUAUCUCAGCCCACCUGUACAGGGUCUUGAAAUCCUGUUAAUCUCUUGCAAAGUUCUUCCUUGACAAAACUCUCCCUUGAGAGACUGUCCUUGUAGUGGAUGUCUGCUGUCUCUCCAUGACCAGCAUCCACUUCUCCUUGUGCUGUAACAGCUUCGUACCUGGCCUUGAUAAAGGAUCCUUCCUCCACUCCCACUUCCGUGCUCAGCUCGGGGGAGCUCACUUUGUCUCCAGCUCUAGAGCAUAUCUUUAUCAUAUGAGCAAGGAGCCGCCACUGAAGAGUUUUAGUAUGUCCCUAUGAGGACAGAGUCAAUGGCAGGAUGUGGUGAUAGAGGGCAUCCUUGUCUUGUUCCUGUUUUCAGAGGGAUGGGGUUCAGUUUUUGCCCAUUGAGUAUGAUGUUGGCUAUGGGUUUGUCAUAUAUGGCCUUUAUUAUGUUGAGGUAGUUUCCUUCUAUGCCCAUUUUGUUCAGAGUUUUUAUCAUAAAUGGCUGUUGGAUCUUGUCAAAUGCCUUCUCUGCAUCUAUUGAGAUGAUCAUGUGGUUUUUAUUCCUCAGUUUGUUGGUGUGGUUUAUCACGUUGAUUGAUUUGCGGAUGUUGAACCAUCCCUUAUUUAUUUUCCAAUUCUUUCUUAGAGCCAUCAGUCAAUCACAUACAUGGUCUGCCUCCCAAGUUAUCACAAGGGACAGUGUGACCAAAUGUUUGCUGCUGCCCACUAGGGAGAACCAUGCUAGUGGCCUCUGACAGCAGUUUCCAGGCGCCUCAUCUUCCAACUGCUAAGCUAAUGCUGCAUAUUUUCAGUUGUUGUUAUAAAAUCACCCCACUCCUGGUACUAAUUUCUGUGUUGCAAACAGAGCUAGGCUAUGUUGUAAUAACAAACGAAUCCUGAGGUGUCAAUUGUCUAAUGCAGACAAUGCCUACUUCUUGCUCAUGCCACGUGCCCAGUGUUGGCUGGCAGGAGAUGUGCUCUGCCCCCACCUCAGGGAGGCUCCACCAGAAAGUGCUUACGGUCCUCUCAGCACAUGGCUUCUGGGUGGAUGGUGGCUGAGUGACAGUGGGGAGAUCAUGCGGGCUACUCCCUGCCUCAGCCUGCCUCUGAGCCAGGACUAAUGUCCUGGCCCUGUCUACCUGCAGGAAAACGGGACAGAGUCCCCUUGGAUGCCCAAAGGGAGGACCAGAUAUGAUCAUGCCGAAGUCAUGGAGCCUCAAUGAAAACUCUGGACAACAAAGCUUGGAGGAACGUCCUGCCUUGGCAAUACCACAUGCGAAUGGCCACACUUGAUGUCCGGAGGAUGAGGCAUCUCUGAGGAAGACAGAAGCUCUGCAUUUGGAACUGCCUGCCUGAUUCUGCCCUAUACGCCUCUUCCUUUGGCUGGUUCUGAUGUGUAUCUUUUUGCUUUAAUAAAGCACAAUCAUAAGUAUAGCA
This 1599-nucleotide long non-coding RNA is filed under the name Equus caballus (horse). RNAcentral's name for it is "lncRNA (ENSECAG00000056861.1)". Lineage: Eukaryota; Metazoa; Chordata; Mammalia; Perissodactyla; Equidae. The record is from RNAcentral.